This 1070-nucleotide ribosomal RNA is filed under the name uncultured bacterium. RNAcentral describes it as "bacterial SSU rRNA". It matches the Rfam family "Bacterial small subunit ribosomal RNA", at positions 8 to 1100 of the family's 1533-position model. The record is from RNAcentral.
AGAGUUUGAUCCUGGCUCAGGAUGAACGCUGGCGGCGCGCCCAAUACAUGCAAGUCGAACGAGGCCCUUUGUAUUCGUAUGAAGGUGUCCUAGUGGCGAACGGGUGAGUAACACGUAGGUAACCUGCCCCAAAGAGGGGGAUAACCUCGGGAAACUGAGGCUAAUACCCCAUGUGCUCCACGGUAUUAGAUGACCAUGGAGUAAAGGAGUAAUCCGCUUUGGGAGGGGCCUGCGGCCCAUCAGCUAGUUGGUAGGGUAAUGGCCUACCAAGGCUAUGACGGGUAGGGGGCCUGAGAGGGUGGUCCCCCACACUGACACUGAAACACGGGUCAGACACCUACGGGUGGCAGCAGUAGGGAAUAUUGCACAAUGGGCGAAAGCCUGAUGCAGCAACGCCGCGUGCGCGAUGAAGGCCUUCGGGUUGUAAAGCGCUUUUCUGGGGGAAGAGAAAGGACGGUACCCCAGGAAUAAGUCUCGGCUAACUACGUGCCAGCAGCCGCGGUAAAACGUAGGAGGCAAGCGUUAUCCGGAUUUACUGGGCGUAAAGCGUGUGUAGGCGGUAUGGUAAGUCGGACGUGAAAGCUCCUGGCUCAACUGGGAGAGGCCGUUCGAAACUUCCAAACUUGAGGGCAGUAGAGGGAGGUGGAAUUCCGGGUGUAGCGGUGAAAUGCGUAGAUAUCCGGAGGAACACCAGUGGCGAAGGCGGCCUCCUGGACUGUCCCUGACGCUCAGACACGAAAGCUAGGGGAGCAAACGGGAUUAGACACCCCGGUAGUCCUAGCUGUAAACGAUGCAGACUUGGUGUUGGGAGUGUAAAAACUUUCAGUGCCGGAGCUAACGCGUUAAGUCUGCCGCCUGGGGACUACGACCGCAAGGUUAAAACUCAAGGAAUUGACGGGGGCCCGCACAAGCAGCGGAGCGUGUGGUUUAUUCGAUGCUACACGAGACCUUACCAGGCUGACAUGACGAGUAGAUCCGAAAGACGACGACUGUAUCAGUCAGGAGCUGUCACAGUGCUGCAUGCUGUCGUCAGCUCGUGCUGAGGUGUGGGUAGGUCCCGUACGAGCGCA